This 347-nucleotide ribosomal RNA is filed under the name Desulfobulbus sp. oral taxon 041. RNAcentral's name for it is "bacterial SSU rRNA". It matches the Rfam family "Bacterial small subunit ribosomal RNA", at positions 29 to 358 of the family's 1533-position model. Lineage: Bacteria; Pseudomonadati; Thermodesulfobacteriota; Desulfobulbia; Desulfobulbales; Desulfobulbaceae. The record is from RNAcentral.
AACGAACGCUGGCGGCGGUGCUUAACACAUGCAAGUCGAACGCGAACGGGACUUCGGUUCCUAGUAGAGUGGCGCACGGGUGAGUAACGGCGUAGAUAACCUGUCUUCAUAUCCGGAAUAACACGCCGAAAGGGGUACUAAUACCGGAUAUUCUUGCAUUUCACAGGUAAGGCAAGGAAAGGUGGCCUCUUGAUUCAAGCUACUGUAUGAAGAGGGGUCUGCGGUACCAUUAGCUAGUAGGUGGGGUAAUGGCCUACCUAGGCGACGAUGGUUAGCGGGUCUGAGAGGAUGAUCCGCCACGCUUGGCACUGGAAUACGGGCCAGACUCCUACGGGAGGCAGCAUGAG